RNAcentral lists this transfer RNA (149 nucleotides) under Pneumocystis jirovecii. RNAcentral's name for it is "tRNA-Pseudo(TAA)". The record is from RNAcentral. Lineage: Eukaryota; Fungi; Ascomycota; Pneumocystomycetes; Pneumocystales; Pneumocystaceae.
UCUAAUAUAAUUAAAUAGUUAUAAAAACAAAUAAUUUAAACUCAUUUUAAAAAAAAUUUAUGAAAUUUUAAAACUUGUAGAAAACCAUAUAACAUAUAAUUACAUUUUAUUUUUUUUAAAUAACAUAAAUUUAAUUUUUAAUAUUAGAA